UACACUCCUGCGGGAGGCAGCAGUGGGGAAUUUUGGACAAUGGGCGAAAGCCUGAUCCAGCCAUGCCGCGUGCAGGAUGAAGGCCUUCGGGUUGUAAACUGCUUUUGUACGGAACGAAACGGCCUUUUCUAAUAAAGAGGGCUAAUGACGGUACCGUAAGAAUAAGCACCGGCUAACUACGUGCCAGCAGCCGCGGUAAUACGUAGGGUGCAAGCGUUAAUCGGAAUUACUGGGCGUAAAGCGUGCGCAGGCGGUUAUGUAAGACAGUUGUGAAAUCCCCAGGCUCAACCUGGGAACUGCAUCUGUGACUGCAUAGCUAGAGUACGGUAGAGGGGGAUGGAAUUCCGCGUGUAGCAGUGAAAUGCGUAGAUAUGCGGAGGAACACCGAUGGCGAAGGCAAUCCCCUGGACCUGUACUGACGCUCAUGCACGAAAGCGUGGGGAGCAAACAGGAUUAGAAACCCCUGUAGUCCCA
This 474-nucleotide ribosomal RNA is filed under the name uncultured organism. RNAcentral's name for it is "partial 16S ribosomal RNA". It matches the Rfam family "Bacterial small subunit ribosomal RNA", at positions 332 to 797 of the family's 1533-position model. The record is from RNAcentral.